GGGAUAAAUUAACAUUUUCACGCAAGGAGUCAGGAGUGUCAUUAUAAAUACUUUUGCCCGUCUAAGAAAUAUUUUUGGCAAAAUCUGUGGCAAAAUGGUUAAAUUCGAUAAGAUUUAUACACAAUUUGUCGAAGGUUAGUAUUAUUGUUUGUUUUAAACUGUGAGAGAAGAUUAAUUGUGAACUAGAACACACCUCUGAGGCUCUGACCGAGUAUUUAGGGAAAUGUGCCUUCAUUGGCUUCGUAUUCUUCGUAUAGCGUUUAUAUUUUAAAAUGUUUUAUGUUUAUGUGUAGUUUUUGAUAUUCUUCAUAGUGGAGUUUAAAUUGGCCUAAUUUAUAGUUAGUUACCACUAGAAAUGCGACGAUAUUUUGGUAUAUCAUAUAUGCAACAAUGUUUACAACUUUUGAAUAAUAUGUGAUUUGGUUUUAUUUCAGAUACUAUUAAAAAAGUGAUUUGCUCAUUUGGCUGAUGUUACAGUUUUCUGAUGUGUUUUGUUUGGAUGAUAUUAGAACAAUUUCAGUAUGAAAGUGCAGGUGUCUUUAGACAUGAGCCAUAAUGUAUAUAUCAAAAUACUUAUAAAAUCCGUUUCCAGCUUGAUUGUAUUUACAUUGUUGCAGACAAAGUUGUGCAAUGGUGGGCUUAUGUCACAUACUCGUAUGUAAUUCCAUGUGCAUGCUUGUACUUUGAUGCCUUAAGAGAUGCUUCAAAUGUGUAAUAAAGGGCUGUUCGCAGGAGUUGGUUUGUCUGGCCUUAAAUUGCAUUGUUUUUAUGUUAUUUUAAUAUUGUAUUCAUAUGGCUAGCUGGACCAUCUUGCCAUUGCCACAAUGUCUGAAGUUCAAGCAGGCGUUAAAAUCAGGUUACAAUUCAUGCUUGAAAAUAUGCAACAAUUUCACUGCUAAUAAUAUUCCAGAAAAUCCUGCCUUUUAGGCAGAUCUGGACUGAUUUGUCUGAGGGGGUUGGAGGUUUUCUACUUGUGAUCGGGCAAGGGGAGCUAGCCAAGGGUGCUGGGUCAGAGUCAAACUCAUGCGAACAGCUUCUAAGGUCCUAAUUAUAUUGAUAAAUUAUGUACACUUUGGGAUGGUAAUGUAUGGUAAAAUAUUCCACAUUUUGUUUAAUAAAAUUUAAUUAUAUACAUUGUUAUUGUUGUUUAUAUUAACACCUUGCAUAUUGGACAGUGUAUAUUUACACCUUAGGACCCUGUAACAAACACCUUUGGAGGGUGUGCCCAUUCUAAGCCAAAGAUGUUUAAGAACAAUUAUCAAGGAAUUUGCAUGAUAAAAUAUAAUUAAAACUGCUCUCUAUAUACAUGUAAUGCAUGGUUCAAUUCUUGCUUUUACCAACUGAAGUAAACCCAGGGACUUUCAAUGUCCCCCUCCUCCCGUAGAAUUCACUUGAAGUGACUGGGGCAAGGUAGCUAUAAGUAUAAGUAGGUAUAAAAGUCAAUUAAUAUUUACAAAUAGAGCUUUUUGAAUAUAGACCAUUGCAAAAAAUUUUUAAAUUUGUUUAACCCGUUAUAUAGUGGCAAUGUGCCCUACUUUAGUAUAUUACCCGUCUGGUGCCAGACAAUUUUACUCAAGGGCAGAAUGUAGACUUGCUGCAAGUCAACCUCGAACAAAAUGUCUGCUCACACUCGCUGCUUGCGUUUCGUUCGAGGUCGACUUGUGGCAAGUCUAAGCAGAAUG
This is a non-coding RNA of Paramuricea clavata, 1682 nucleotides long. Lineage: Eukaryota; Metazoa; Cnidaria; Anthozoa; Malacalcyonacea; Plexauridae. The record is from the annotation of a GenBank genome assembly.